RNAcentral lists this small nucleolar RNA (77 nucleotides) under Tetraodon nigroviridis (spotted green pufferfish). RNAcentral's name for it is "Small nucleolar RNA SNORD53/SNORD92". It matches the Rfam family "Small nucleolar RNA SNORD53/SNORD92". From Rfam's summary of the family: U53 is a member of the C/D class of snoRNA which contain the C (UGAUGA) and D (CUGA) box motifs. Lineage: Eukaryota; Metazoa; Chordata; Actinopteri; Tetraodontiformes; Tetraodontidae. The record is from Rfam by way of RNAcentral.
CGGGAUGAUGACCCACAGUGGUUUCGCUCAUUGGCCUGAGCCCCAGUGAUGUCACUUCCUCUUGGCUGUCUGACCUG